UUUCCCAAGCUUGGGUCUCCAGCUGUUUUUGAACUACAACUCCCAUCAUCCCUAGCUUUCAAAACCAGUGGUCAGGGACGAUGGGAUUGUAGUCUGAAAACAGAUGGAGACCAAAGGUUGGGAAA
Podarcis lilfordi (Lilford's wall lizard) is the source of this 125-nucleotide non-coding RNA. NCBI's taxonomy places the organism in Eukaryota, Metazoa, Chordata, Lepidosauria, Squamata, Lacertidae. The record is from the annotation of a GenBank genome assembly.